GGUUAUAGAAGAGAAUCCACCAAUAAACAUCGAUCUCAUAUGCAAUUGCCUUUAUGGAACUUCAAUUGAUGAUUCCAUUCAACCGGAUAUGGUAUUCACUUCUUUUGAUUGUCCUCUAUUGUGGGUAAGUCUUUUUGUCUGACUCUGAAGAAUCUUUGAUGAAUUAUAAUUUUAGUCAUGCUAUUUUUCAAAGGGGCUUGCAGUUUCAGUUACUUGUAUAAAAUGCUGAUGAAAAAAUAUAUAUCAAACUAGGACCAUUGAUUCAAAUGAGUGUUGGUUAAACCACUAACUCUAUAGUCUUGCCAAUUCCUAGUCUGCGUAAAUUUUGGUUCCUAAUUCCAUUGACCUUUUUUUUUCUUUUUAUCUUGGUUUUUAUUAUAUGCUGUCUUUUUGUGAAGAACACUACAAGUAUGUCAAUGAAUACUCCAAUUGGAACACUGCCAAUUGUAACUUGAUAUGUGAAAGAGGUGCACUUUUCUUUCAGGAAGAGCUAUAAUUCACACCUUGUGUACAAUGGUGAAAUCUUGUUUAGAGAACAUUAUUAGAGAUGCUGAUGUUACUGAGAAUAAGAUGAAGGCUGCAAAAAUAGCAA
Long non-coding RNA from Rosa chinensis, 592 nucleotides. RefSeq lists it as uncharacterized. The record is from RefSeq and is a predicted model, not a curated record. Lineage: Eukaryota; Viridiplantae; Streptophyta; Magnoliopsida; Rosales; Rosaceae. The transcript has 3 exons.